Molecule: ribosomal RNA, 201 nt
Filed under: uncultured bacterium
Lineage: Bacteria
Description: partial 16S ribosomal RNA
Rfam family: Bacterial small subunit ribosomal RNA
Source: RNAcentral
GCAGCCUGCAACUCGGCUGCAUGAAGCUGGAAUCGCUAGUAAUCGCGGAUCAGAAUGCCGCGGUGAAUACGUUCCCGGGUCUUGUACACACCGCCCGUCACACCAUGGGAGUUGGAAAUGCCCGAAGUCAGUGGCCCAACCUACGGGAGGGAGCUGCCGAAGGCAGGUUCGAUGACUGGGGUGAAGUCGUAACAAGGUAUC